RNAcentral lists this long non-coding RNA (293 nucleotides) under Lathyrus oleraceus (garden pea). RNAcentral's name for it is "Pisum sativum (pea) long non-coding RNA (PSAT_LNC005332)". The record is from RNAcentral. Lineage: Eukaryota; Viridiplantae; Streptophyta; Magnoliopsida; Fabales; Fabaceae.
UUUUGUUCCAAGGAAACCUCAGAGUGUUUUGCUUCUCUUCCUUUUUCUGUCUGUUCUCCAUCUUUUAUAACCUGAUUUUCAUGGCUUUGUGGGCUCAACUGAGAGAGGUCCAAGUCCAAGAUUUUUCUAUUAUAUUUUAUUUAUUUAUUUAUUUAAAUUUUUUUUUUUUCGUUUUCCGUUUUUUUUUUCAUUUUUUUUUGUUUACGUUUUCUGUUUUUUUUUUGCAUAACACGUGGGCUUCGCCUAUCGAGCAUGACAGCUCAUGAACAAACCUUUGCUCCUUCAAGAUUAAC